CCACGUUCUGUGAAGUUUGGGGCCCCUUGGACCCCCGGGGGCUGAAAGGUGGGCGGUGACACGUGUGACUUGUUCCAUUCGUCUUUUACAGGUGCUUUGUGGACAGCGGCCGAUUCCCCCGAAACCGACAUAUGCGUCACGUCACUGUCCCCCAGAGAUGCCCCCGAAGUCCGGGCCUUAUUGGAAGGGACUGAUACAGAUGGAGGUUCAGUGCCCAAUGUGUGCUGCAAAGGUGUUGCACCUCAGGCACCAGGCAGAUCACGCUGCAGCUGGCCAGGGGAAGGGUCUCACUGCGGGACUUGAGGUGUUCUGCAUGCGGGAUCAAUUACAGCUGCAUCGACUGCCACCUCCAGUCGAGUCAUCCGGAACUCACGACAAAAAGAUGAAAGCUGUGGACAGCUUGAGGUCAGUGUGGACCAGCUGAAAAAAUUAAGGGCCAAAAACGCUACAGUAAGGCUGGUCUCACACAUGGAUGACCUUGAAGCAGGGGUGGCGAGUCAGCUGGCACUCCCCCAGCCGCAGCCUCCGGAGAGACAGGCGAUGCUCCCCCAGCCUGCAGAGGAAUGUCUGCAGUUUCUGGGAGAAUUCGAAAGCACACUGGACCACCAGAUGACCGUGAGCCUGCAAGAUCUACUGCGAGAUCCGAUCCUUACACUUGGCAUGGAUGACAUGGACUUGGCCACAGUCAACCGCCGAAUUUUUGACAUUUUGAAAAGAUGUAUAUAGUUUUGACGUUGUGUUGUUCCGCUUUCAAAAAAAAUAUUUAAUAUUUUAAUAAUUUUGUUUUGAAUGUUUUUUUUACUUCAUUGAAAUGUUUCUUUUACAAGCUCUUAGAUAUUCGAGUUUUUUUUUAAA
Cyprinus carpio carpio is the source of this 855-nucleotide long non-coding RNA. Lineage: Eukaryota; Metazoa; Chordata; Actinopteri; Cypriniformes; Cyprinidae. The record is from Ensembl.